This is a long non-coding RNA of Homo sapiens (human), 2297 nucleotides long. The record is from Ensembl. NCBI's taxonomy places the organism in Eukaryota, Metazoa, Chordata, Mammalia, Primates, Hominidae.
CAUUAGGAGAGGACUCUGCCCGCUGUCUGUCUCACAAUCUGCUCGAAAUAUCUUGGUCAGGAAUCUCAGGAUGUCUAGUGACCCCGAGUGAGGUGCUGCCUUUUAUUCCUGAGCAUCUUUGGAAGCAGGAAGCAGGGAGCAACGGUAGCGAGAGGUAUUCGGAUCUGAGUAUCAGCAGGAAGAAGAAACAGAGGAAGAAGUCCCCCAUAAGGAAGGCGUGAGGAGCGCAGGAAGCGCUGUUUCCCUGCCUGAGAUCUUUAUUCUACUAGGUCUUUAUUCUACGUAGCCGAUACGCUGUAAAAUUCUGGAAGAGAAGGCUAGGGGUUUAAGGUUGGUAAUCUCUCAGAAGAUCUGCGUCUCGGUGACGGAAAGAACUAAGGGGCAUACAGAAUAUAUUUCCUGUCCAAUAAUGACAGAAAUACUUGAUUUUGAAGAGUAACAGUUAUAGCUUGGAAUAGAAGACUGGAGGCAGUUUGAGGGCCGACUUCAGAGUCCUGGUUGAAAUGAAGGUUGAGAAGUAUAAUGCAGUCAGUGCAGGUGACUUUCAGCUGGGUAUCUAGUCCUAUCAGAGGUAAAAACUGUGGUUGCCCUAACCAAAACAAUAGGACUAAGAGACCUUAAAUGAAAGAUGAAAGUUAUUAUAGAGAGAAAUGAUCAUACUGGCAAACAAUUCACCUCCAAGAAUUAUGAUGUGACUCUUUGUCAGAUACUCACAGAUGGAAUUCUAAACUGGUAGCAGACCCUGAAGGACAAUGUCACCAUCAGAACCACCAACAAGGACAAACUGUCCCUCUCCUGCAUCACCCUGCAUACCAUCUGCAUCCACAAAAAUGCUCAUUCUUCAACAAGCCUCCUAUUUCUUUUGGGUGACUGGGAACACUGCCCAGCACCUCCAUCACAUGCUUUAGCGCUUCCCACCCUAACUUAGGGUCCCAUAUGCCUCCUGUUUCUUCUUGACCAGUGACCUGCCACUGUGGGCACUGUCAUUCUACAUGUCAGUGAGUGCAGAGUGCUAUGGUUACCAUGCAGACUAUCUUUGAGCUGACUCUGCAGGCCAGUGACCAGGGUUCAACUUGCUCAGUGUCAUCCUGAACCUGCAUGUGAUGGUGGAUGACCAUUGCAAAAAUGCAAGGACACUAUGCCAGGAGUUGCAGCCAAGUGGGGCCCUCUUUGAUGCUGCACCACUCACAAUGCAACCCAGCUAUCCCAUCACCAAAGUGGACACCAGCUGGGGCAUAAAGGCUGACUGUCCUAUCAUGUGCUUCAGGCCAGCUAAUGUGGCUCUUCAAACUAGGGAUGUGCACGAGCUAGAUGCGUGCCGUGUCACUGUGGGUAACAGAGAUGCAACCUGCCAAGGUUUGUUGGUCACCGUGGUCAAUGGUGAAUCAUCACGCUGAAACAUCACCUGGUUGCUGCUCAUAGUUUGCAGGAGUUGCUACCAGACCUCAGCAAUCGCCCAGCACCCAACAGCAGGCAGCAGACAGCACCCAACAGCUGGCGAUGGCCGUUGCCUUGAUCUCCAUGCUGUUUCUCCUCAGUGUGACUCUGGCCAUCUCUCUGAACCUGCAAUGCCCCCUAUAGCUCCAUUGCCUGGGGCUGUUUUCAGCUGGAUCUCUGGUCCAAGCCCGGAUAUGGAGUUGUCUCCAACUUAAAGAAAGGAAAUUUGCCCUGUUCCUACAACGUAUGUGUGGUUUUAGAUAUUUUUAAAAUCUUAAUUUCUUUAACUCAAGAAACAGCUUUGAACCAGGUAUUCUCUGCAGUGCCAGCAAUGAAGCUUUGUUUUAUUUUUGUUUUUGUAGAAACGGGGUUCACUAUAUUGACCAAGCUGGUCUCAAACUCCUGGCCUCAAGUAAUCUGCCCACCUUGGCCUCCCAAAGUGCUGGGAUUGCAGGCGUGAGCCACUGUGUGUGGGCAGCAAUGAAGCUUUAAAUGUUGCAUUUGAUUCAAAUGUAUUUGUGUGAUAUUUUAACAUUUUUAUUUUAUACUUACCAUCCUUUUAUAAAUCACUCCUGCGUGUUUUUGGUUGCUGAAAGUAGGGAGCUCUACAGGUUUACUUACUAGUUCUUAUGUAUAUUUUAAUUUACCUCAUUAGCUCACAAUUUCUUUGGGGAAAAGUUUAUGCCUAUUAAUGUGUAUUCUGAAAAGUUACAUUCUCUGUUAAAGAGUUACUUCCUUGCAAUAUUGAAGAUGAUUUAUUGCACCUUUAAAUUUCUACUCUUUGGCUCCAUGUACUUGUCUUUGAGAAGCUGAGAAACUGUAGAUUUGGUUAAGAACUAAAGUUCUCUUUCCAAAAACUA